Molecule: microRNA, 23 nt
Filed under: Chrysemys picta bellii (western painted turtle)
Lineage: Eukaryota; Metazoa; Chordata; Testudines; Emydidae
Also listed under: 7 other names
Description: Cpi-Mir-1-P4_5p* (star (passenger))
Source: RNAcentral
ACAUACUUCUUCAUAUGCCCAUA